AGUCUUAGGCUCCGUGACGAAACAUCGCCCGGCGAUGAACAAUCAGCGCAGAAAUCCAGCAGAGCCGCGGCCGGUGGGACGCCGCCGCCGCCAUCCGGAGAUCCAGCGGCCACCCCAACUGUACAGAGCAAAAUACAAAAAGAGGCCCGGGUUCCGUCGAGGGAUUCAACCUCCCCAGGCAGCCCCACGGCCGCCGGACGGACCGGGUUCGAGAUCCUGCCUGAGUACGGUCGUU
RNAcentral lists this long non-coding RNA (235 nucleotides) under Spirodela polyrhiza (greater duckweed). Its description in RNAcentral is "long non-coding RNA (SPOL_LNC002399)". Lineage: Eukaryota; Viridiplantae; Streptophyta; Magnoliopsida; Alismatales; Araceae. The record is from RNAcentral.